This 353-nucleotide long non-coding RNA is filed under the name Phaseolus vulgaris (common bean). RNAcentral's name for it is "long non-coding RNA (PVUL_LNC004920)". Lineage: Eukaryota; Viridiplantae; Streptophyta; Magnoliopsida; Fabales; Fabaceae. The record is from RNAcentral.
GAAAACCUAACCAAGCAUAUCUCUCACACUCAAGCUAGAGAAAUUCCAUGUUUAGAAUACCUUGGCAAUGAUCAAUUAGCAUCUCAAUGUUUCAAUGAAAGAUCUAUGAUCUUAAGGGACAAAGAUGAGAAUAGUAGCCAAGAAAAAGAAGCUAGUGAGAGUGAAGAAAAUGUAAAAAUAGAAAAGCAAGAGAAGACCCUUGAAGAACAAAAGGCGUGGGAGAAGAGUGUUCCUUCCCACAAGGUCAUUCAACAAGACCAAAGAUUUAAAAAUACCUUUGAAAAUGUGUGUCUUGUUGAACAACCUCAAAGCCUUACCUUUUGUAAAGGAACACUUGCAAGCCUAAGUGAAAA